Molecule: transfer RNA, 116 nt
Filed under: Hypomesus pretiosus
Lineage: Eukaryota; Metazoa; Chordata; Actinopteri; Osmeriformes; Osmeridae
Description: tRNA-Leu
Rfam family: tRNA (bases 43-116)
About the family: Transfer RNA (tRNA) molecules are approximately 80 nucleotides in length. Their secondary structure includes four short double-helical elements and three loops (D, anti-codon, and T loops). Further hydrogen bonds mediate the characteristic L-shaped molecular structure. tRNAs have two regions of fundamental functional importance: the anti-codon, which is responsible for specific mRNA codon recognition, and the 3' end, to which the tRNAs corresponding amino acid is attached (by aminoacyl-tRNA synthetases). tRNAs cope with the degeneracy of the genetic code in two manners: having more than one tRNA (with a specific anti-codon) for a particular amino acid; and 'wobble' base-pairing, i.e. permitting non-standard base-pairing at the 3rd anti-codon position.
Source: RNAcentral
CCUAGUGUGGCAGGGUCUGGGGAACGGGUUUCUGCCUACUCGCCCGAGGUAGCAAAGUCUGGAAAGUGCUAAAGGUCUAAGCCCUUUCAUCGGAGGUUCAAAUCCUCCCCCCGGCU